AGUAAUGGUAGGCUCAUUUCGAGGGCUAAGCCAUGCAAGUGCAAGUACGCUUGCUAAAAAGCUUAACCGCGCGAGCCUCGUGCCUUCCUAGGACCGAGGACCAUCCGCAGUUUAGUCAGACCGAGUCGACUGCGUACGGCUCAGUAGACUCGUCAUAAUGGACGUUGGUAGAAUCGUAUCAACGAGCUUUGGAUAACGGUGACAAAUUUAGCGCUAAUACAUUUACGUCGCUAGUUAUCUAGGCAGUUCGCUGCUUAACUUGGCUGCAGUCGAGGAGAGCUAACGUUGGCCGAACGGUAAAACGUUCGCGUCAAUAGCGAUCCCGGAGAGGGACUGUAGUCGGAUCUUGUCGUCCAUUAAGACAAGACGCCUCAACACCGGAGGCGAGCUUAUCAGGCCUGAUGCGCGCAUCAGGUUCUUGCCUAGCUGUUACGAGUAACGGGGUAUCAGGGUACGAUACCGGAGAGGGAGCCUUAAAAACGGCUACCACUACCAAGGAAGGCAGCAGGCGCGCAACUUACCCAAUACCGACACGGUGAGGUAGUAAAAAGGAGUGACAUUGCGAAGAUCCUCUCGAGAGGCUUCGUUAUUGGAUUGAAAACAAUCCAAAUACAAUAAAUAGUUACUGGAGGGCAAGUCUGGUGCCAGCAGCCGCGGUAAUUCCAGCUCCAGUGGCCUACGUUAACUUUGCUGCGGUUAAAAAGCUCGUAGUCAAGUUUGCGUUUGGUCGCGUCGGCAGUAUGAUUCUCUAAGGAAUCGCUCUGGCGCGCCGAACGUCAGGUCCGGAGCGUGCGACCGAUCUGUUCGCCUCGCGCGUUCAGUAUUCGCGUCGGACAACGGGCCACAUUACUUUAAGCAAAUUAUAGUGUUCAAAGCAGGUCAGGAGUGNNNNNNNNNNNNNNNNNNNNNNNNNNNNNNNNNNNNNNNNNNNNNNNNNNNNNNNNNNNNNNNNNNNNNNNAGAGGUGAAAUUCUGAGACCGUCGCAGGACGACCUACAGCGAAAGCAUUUGCCAAAAACGUCUCCUUCGAUCAAGAACGAAAGUCAGAGGUUCGAAGGCGAUUAGAUACCGCCCUAGUUCUGACCUUAAACGAUGUUAACCAGUUAUCCGCCAUAGUAUGGAUUACUUGGUGGGCAGCUUCCGGGAAACCUAGAGUGUUUCAGUUCCGGGGGUAGUAUGGUUGCAAAGCUGAAACUUAAAGGAAUUGACGGAAGGGCACCGCCAGGAGUGGAGCCUGCGGCUUAAUUUGACUCAACACGGGGAACCUCACCAGGUCCGGACAUGAUUGCGAUGGACAGAUCGAUAGCUCUUUCUAGAUCUCAUGGAUGGUGGUGCAUGGCCGUUCUUAGUUCGUGGAGCGAUUUGUCUGGUUAAUUCCGAUAACGAGCGAGACUCUACCUUACUAACUAAGACGUACGAUAUACGCGAGGUCUGUCACCGCUCGUUCGUGCGCUCGUUCCGUUCGCGGUGCGUGUGUGCGGCGGGUCGGUGCGGGCCAUGCUAUCGGCGCAUAUGUUUUCUUCUUAGAAGAACAAGCUAUAUAUAGUAGCACGAGAGAGAGCAAUAACAGGUCUGUGAUGCCCUUAGAUGUCCUGGGCCGCACGCGUGCGACAAUGAAAGAGUCAAUAGGUGUCCUAGGCCGAAACGUCCGGGUAAUCCUAGCAAUCUCUUUCGUGUUGGGGAUUGGGGCUUGAAAGUGCUUCCCAUGAACGAGGAAUUCCCAGUAAGCGCAGUUGAUCAAUCUGCGCUGAUUGAGUCCCAGCCCUUUGUACACACCGCCCGUCGCUACUACCGAUGAGCGGGCUAGCGAGAUCUUCGGACCGGCGCCUCGCAAGAGGUCGUUACCGGAAAGUCGAUCAAACUUGCCCGUUUAGAGGAAGUAAAA
This 1884-nucleotide ribosomal RNA is filed under the name Rhytus sp. JP-2014. RNAcentral describes it as "partial 18S ribosomal RNA". It matches the Rfam family "Eukaryotic small subunit ribosomal RNA". The record is from RNAcentral. Lineage: Eukaryota; Metazoa; Arthropoda; Insecta; Coleoptera; Staphylinidae.